RNAcentral lists this ribosomal RNA (496 nucleotides) under uncultured bacterium. RNAcentral's name for it is "partial 16S ribosomal RNA". It matches the Rfam family "Bacterial small subunit ribosomal RNA", at positions 28 to 506 of the family's 1533-position model. The record is from RNAcentral.
GAUGAACGCUGGCGGCGUGCCUAAUACAUGCAAGUCGAGCGAACGGACGAGAAGCUUGCUUCUCUGAUGUUAGCGGCGGACGGGUGAGUAACACGUGGAUAACCUACCUAUAAGACUGGGAUAACUUCGGGAAACCGGAGCUAAUACCGGAUAAUAUUUUGAACCGCAUGGUUCAAAAGUGAAAGACGGUCUUGCUGUCACUUAUAGAUGGAUCCGCGCUGCAUUAGCUAGUUGGUAAGGUAACGGCUUACCAAGGCAACGAUGCAUAGCCGACCUGAGAGGGUGAUCGGCCACACUGGAACUGAGACCCGGUCCAGACUCCUACGGGAGGCAGCAGUAGGGAAUCUUCCGCAAUGGGCGAAAGCCUGACGGAGCAACGCCGCGUGAGUGAUGAAGGUCUUCGGAUCGUAAAACUCUGUUAUUAGGGAAGAACAUAUGUGUAAGUAACUGUGCACAUCUUGACGGUACCUAAUCAAAAAGCCACGGCUAACUACGU